Molecule: long non-coding RNA, 506 nt
Organism: Mercenaria mercenaria
Lineage: Eukaryota; Metazoa; Mollusca; Bivalvia; Venerida; Veneridae
Exons: 3
Source: RefSeq, a predicted model, not a curated record
UUUGAACUUCUCUGUUACUCACUAAGCAUACAGUAUUGAAUUUUUAAAAUUAAGAAAUCCGUGAUUUUACUUGCAGGCAUGACUGAUAAAUGGAAUUAUUUUACUUUUAUAUAGAAUAUGGACGGCACUCCAGUACAGCAUGUGCAUGGUUGGACCUGUUGACAUUUUUAGAAACGCAUCUUGGUCUAUUAUACAGAGUAUUGUUGUACUGCUCCAAAGUGCUUGUUGACAGACUGAAACCACUUGCUUGCAGCUCAUAAGGUUUACUUCUUGAGAGCAGGCAGCUACAAAAUGGAAAGUCAACAAAUCCAGUAUACUUGAAAAGCAAGAAAGAAACACCAGAAAAUAUGAAAAGACAGAAAUACAAGGGAACUUGAAUAAAAAAAAACUUUUAAGGAUAGGAAUUCAGGAUUUACUUGGAAACUAAAUUUAUUUUGAGAGCAGCAGUGAUUGACUAAACUCUGUUACUUUAAGAGAUAAUGUAUUAUCACAUUGGUUUUGUUAUU